CUUCUCUCCUAAACAGAUUGCCAGAGCUGUUGGUGACAUUACUUCUCUCCUAAACAGAUUGCCAGAGCUGUUGGUGACACUACUUCUCUCCUAAACAGAUUGCCAGAGCUGUUGGUGACAUUACUUCUCUCCUAAACAGAUUGCCAGACCUGUUGGAGAAACUGAUAGACAUUGCGAAGGAGGAGGGGAUUCUAGUGAUUCCCAUGCUCCAUCUCCUCAAAGGUUCCUCCAAACCCUUUGAACCAAUCCCUGUCACAAUCACACCAAGUUGCAAGACUUGGGCAGGUCUGCAAAAUACUUGGGCAGGUCUGCAAAAAGUGACCAACACGUCACAGAACAGCAACGAAAGCAGAACCAUGUUGAAUCUCAUUAAAGCCAAUGGACAUUUAGUGGAGAUGGACAGACUAGCGAACCGUUCCUGGAUGUGUCUACUGACCGUAGAGGAUCUGGUAGAAUACAGCUCCAUUGUCAAAGUUGAGCUCCUGGAUAUACUUCUUGUUUUUACUGUGAAGGCUCCUGUGAGUGUAACCACCAGCAACAACGGGAAUUUCACUGCCACUCUUUCACAUAUUCAAAACCAUCUUAAAGAGCAAAAAUACAGGUGA
Molecule: long non-coding RNA, 605 nt
Organism: Oncorhynchus kisutch (coho salmon)
Lineage: Eukaryota; Metazoa; Chordata; Actinopteri; Salmoniformes; Salmonidae
Source: Ensembl